ACUCAGCCGUGAAAUACGAUCGAACCCCAGACCGGGGGACCCAAAAGUAGGUGAAAAGCAGGAAAAGAAAAGGAAAGGCGCGACAAAUUUGAAGUGAAGCUCCUCUUCUUUCUUUCUCUUUUUCCCGGAAAAAAAGAGA
Molecule: non-coding RNA, 139 nt
Organism: Caenorhabditis elegans
Lineage: Eukaryota; Metazoa; Nematoda; Chromadorea; Rhabditida; Rhabditidae
Source: Ensembl